GACGAACGCUGGCGGCGUGCUUAACACAUGCAAGUCGAACGGAAAGGCCCUGCUUUUGUGGGGUGCUCGAGUGGCGAACGGGUGAGUAACACGUGAGUAACCUGCCCUUGCCUUUGGGAUAACUUCAGGAAACUGGGGCUACUACCGGAUAGGAGCUCCUGCUGCAUGGUGGGGGUUGGAAAGUUUCGGCGGUUGGGGUUGGACUCGCGGCUUAUCAGCUUGUUGGUGGGGUAGUGGCUUACCCAGGCUUCGACGGGUCUCCGGCCUGAGAGGGUGAACGGGCACAUGGGUGCUGAGGUACAGCCCAGACUCCUACGGGAGGCAGCAGUAGGGAAUAUUGCGCAAUGGGCGGAAGCCUGAUGUAGCAACGCCGCGUUCGGGAUGACGGCCUUCGGGUUGUAAACCGCUUUCGCCUGUGACGAAGCGUGGGUGACGGUAAUGGGUAAAGAAGCACCGGCUAACUACGUG
This 468-nucleotide ribosomal RNA is filed under the name uncultured bacterium. RNAcentral's name for it is "partial 16S ribosomal RNA". It matches the Rfam family "Bacterial small subunit ribosomal RNA", at positions 28 to 507 of the family's 1533-position model. The record is from RNAcentral.